Molecule: ribosomal RNA, 491 nt
Filed under: uncultured bacterium
Lineage: Bacteria
Description: partial 16S ribosomal RNA
Rfam family: Bacterial small subunit ribosomal RNA
Source: RNAcentral
AGUGAACGCUGGCGGUAGGCCUAACACAUGCAAGUCGAACGGCAGCACGGUAAGAGCUUGCUCUUACGGGUGGCGAGUGGCGGACGGGUGAGGAAUACAUCGGAAUCUACUUUUUCGUGGGGGAUAACGUAGGGAAACUUACGCUAAUACCGCAUACGACCUACGGGUGAAAGCAGGGGAUCUUCGGACCUUGCGCGAUUGAAUGAGCCGAUGUCGGAUUAGCUAGUUGGCGGGGUAAAGGCCCACCAAGGCGACGAUCCGUAGCUGGUCUGAGAGGAUGAUCAGCCACACUGGAACUGAGACACGGUCCAGACUCCUACGGGAGGCAGCAGUGGGGAAUAUUGGACAAUGGGCGCAAGCCUGAUCCAGCCAUACCGCGUGGGUGAAGAAGGCCUUCGGGUUGUAAAGCCCUUUUGUUGGGAAAGAAAAGCAGCAGGUUAAUACCCCGCUGUUCUGACGGUACCCAAAGAAUAAACACCGGCUAACUUCGU